Molecule: long non-coding RNA, 952 nt
Filed under: Penaeus japonicus
Lineage: Eukaryota; Metazoa; Arthropoda; Malacostraca; Decapoda; Penaeidae
Description: uncharacterized LOC122261005
Source: RNAcentral
CAACGAAGGUCAGUCUUGAAAAGCAACUUGCAAGGAAAGGAGGACCUCUCGAGUGACUCCGAUUCUGGACGGAAAGCAAAACCUCGACCAAGAACGGCGGAGGAAUAUCUUGUCUUGGGCGAUCUUCGUGGAGAGAGAAAAUCGCCGGGAAAUAUACGUACGGAAAAUCGGCGGAGUAUUGCUAGCUAGUCGGAUCUCAACUCUGACGUCAGAAAAAAGAAGCACACAACACACUCCAGUGACCAUGAAUAAAAUCCUCCUUCUGACAUUGCUAUUGGCGGUUCUUAUGGGCGUGUCUUCGGCGAUGCCUCAAUUGAUCAUCACUCAGAGACGGAGGUUCCCGGGAGAAAGGCGGUUGGGAACGAUUAACUACGGACAGUACCGCUACGGCAAGCAUGGGUACCAGAGGAAGUGUCACCCAAGAAAAAGAAAGUGCUACAGCUUCUUUUCAUGAAGGCCUAAACUGAAGUGUUUAAGAAUGCAAAGAGCGUAGUCCGGCGCUGGUGUUGCCACGGCCCUUGGGUACGAAUUGCAGAAUGCUUGCAGUCAUGAUCUGGGUGGAGAUACCAUCAGGCAAAGAGAGUCAUUGCUUGCCAAGUGUAUUGCAACUUCUGGAAGCUAAACUCUGCUAAGAAUAGUGGCAGCGUCGCACCCUUGAAGAUCUGUUGUUAACCUAAAGGACUUAUUAGGGCUCUAGGUUAAGGGGCAGCGUAUGUAGACUUUAGGGAAGAGUGUGUACACUUUAAGGACAGCGUAUGUAGACUGAUUUAUAUUAAAUCAUGAAUGUGCAUCAGUGUAUCUGGUUGGCACUUACGAAUACUGUGUAUAUUUUGUUUCUCUUUGUUAAAUAUAGUUGUUGUAGUAACGUUGUUUUUCAAUAUUUGUACUUCAUUUGGUGAUUAUUAUGUCACUGAUUUUAUAUUGUUAGUAAUAUAAUGAUUUUUAAAUAGAA